This 249-nucleotide long non-coding RNA is filed under the name Lathyrus oleraceus (garden pea). RNAcentral's name for it is "Pisum sativum (pea) long non-coding RNA (PSAT_LNC019496)". The record is from RNAcentral. Lineage: Eukaryota; Viridiplantae; Streptophyta; Magnoliopsida; Fabales; Fabaceae.
UUGAUAGGUUGCCUCUAUUUCAACCAUAUUUGAGUCAUUUGAUGCAUAGAUGAAACCAUGUUCUUUAUAUUAACUUACUAAUCCAUUUGCUUAUUGUUAUUACACUAACCACUAACCACUAACAUCUAACAUUUAUAUUAUUGCACUUUAUUUCCUUGUUAUUUAUUUGCUCACAAUUUAUUUUAUUGUUUAUUUUAUUUUAAUUACUUUAUAUUUAUGUCCAUUAUUAUCUAACCAUAUAUCAUUUAC